Molecule: long non-coding RNA, 640 nt
Organism: Mastomys coucha (southern multimammate mouse)
Lineage: Eukaryota; Metazoa; Chordata; Mammalia; Rodentia; Muridae
Exons: 2
Source: RefSeq, a predicted model, not a curated record
CCAGAUGCCCUUAUUAUACAGACCGAUCUGCACACAAGCGUCUCUCCUGCAUUGAAACCUACCACGAGUGCUUCCCAUACAGUGUGAAGGAGCAAGAGAAGUUAAUAGAUUACUGGAAAAUGAUGAGCGGCUCAGUAGAGAGGAGCAGGCUGCUCAAUGGAAAGACCCUCUUUUAGAGUGUGGACAGACAGUUCAUGUCUACAACGUGCUGUGCCCCUGAGCAAACUGGUUUAUUGGCUGACCCUUCAAGGGGGCUGUGUUAAUUUAUUAGUGACAGAGCAGCAUGACCAUGGAACCAGCUUGGAAUGGAGCUGUGAGCCCGUGUGGUCCAGGUGAUAUCCAUUUCUGACUUUAGGCAUCUGGAGAACACAAAACUGUUUCCACGCUUGGAGAAAAUGUGAUGUGUGAGUGCCAGUGCUCCUACAAGCAGUCAAGCUGGACAUAUUCCAUCCCCUGGCGGCUUUUCUGGGAGUAUGGGGUGGAUGGAGUGGCUGAUGUCCUGAUACUUCUCCCAUCUAUGAGAGACACACGUGCUGCCUCUUGAGGUACAAUGUGUGCACAAUGUCUGCAAGGGAAGUGUUUGUCUCCUCCUUUUGUGGUCUGAAACCUGAUCAAAUAUUUUUAUGUCGUUUUUCACAAA